This is a non-coding RNA of Felis catus (domestic cat), 259 nucleotides long. It matches the Rfam family "7SK RNA". Rfam says of the family: 7SK was discovered as an abundant small nuclear RNA in the mid-70s but a possible function has only recently been suggested. NCBI's taxonomy places the organism in Eukaryota, Metazoa, Chordata, Mammalia, Carnivora, Felidae. The record is from Rfam.
GGAGGCAAUGGCGAUCUGGCUGUGACAUCUGUCACCGCAUUGAUCACCAGGGUUCAUUUGGCUGAACUGGCGGGCGCUCUCUCGGUGGAAGAAGAUGAUCUUCCUUCUCCGAGAGAGGAGGACUGCUCUUUGGUCAAGGGUAUACUAGCUGCGCCCCUUGCUAGACCUCCAAACACGCCCUCGAUGUCCGUUUGGGGGAGAACGUAGGGUAGUCAGGCUUCCAGGACCCCAGCCUGACGGUGGCAGGCUGCCUUUCUUU